CGGGCGCACCGCACAGCAGGGCAUGGAGGAGAGCGGCGAGUCCCAGCCGACCGCGGGCUGCAGCGAUGUGCGCCCGAGCGGCGAUCGCGGCGGCGGCGCCCUCUCAUGGGCCCCCGAGGACGCCUGGAUGGGCACGCACCCUAAGUAUUUAGAAAUGAUGGAAUUAGAUAUAGGAGAUGCCACCCAAGUGUAUAUAGCAUUCUUGGUUUACCUGGACCUCAUGGAGAGUAAGAGUUGGCAUGAAGUAAACUGUGUGGGAUUACCAGAUCUCCAGCUCAUCUGCCUUCUUGGUACUGAGAUAGAAGGAGAAGGGUUACAGACUGUGGUACCUACACCCGUCAGUGCUUCCCUCAGCCAUAACAGGAUAAGGGAGAUCUUGAAGGCAUCUCGAAAAUUGCAAGGUGAUCCAGAUUUGCCGAUGUCUUUUACUUUGGCCAUAGUGGAGUCUGACUCCACAAUAGUCUAUUACAAACUUACUGAUGGAUUUAUGCUGCCAGAUCCUCAGAAUGUUCCCUGUGUACUUGACCGAAGUUGUUCUGUCCAAAGCCAGCCAGAUACCUGCUAGUGUGAGUAAUGGUCCAGGACAGUUUGGAAAUGGAGAUGACCCGCCUCUGUCAGUCUCAUUUUAGUGAAAAAUAGACCAGCGAUAUCUUGUGGAUUGACACCUGUAUACAGACCACACUUUGAGUAGCCUGUGUUAGAGCUCAGAUGAGAAGUGAUGAGAGCCUGAAACCCAACAGUAGCCCAGCCCCCGGACACUUUUCAUUCAAACGUGUAAAUGCACAGAAGAGAGAAGUUAAUGAUCACUAACCUUUUACCAUCUUGGGAGGAGCGACUUCUGGUGCUUAGUAUCAGGAAACUUCUGAGGGAAUGAUUCCAGGUGCCCUUAGCUCAGGUGAGAAAUCCUAGAAGUGGGCUCCUGCUGGCCUGGAAGAAAGUAAACAUCCAUGCUGUGAAUAGCAUGGGGACCACAUGGCAAGGAAUACCGAUGUCCUCUGGGAGCUGAGUGUGAUCCCCAGAUGACAGCUAGCAAGGAAACGGGGAACGUAUUCCUACGAGGUCAUGAGAAACUGAAUUCUGCCAACAACCCGACUGAGCUUGGAAGGGGACCCCACACCUCAGAUGAGAACUCAGCCUGGCCGGUGCCCUAACUGCAGCCGUGUGAUCCCCUGAGCAGGGAUCCAGCAAAGCUGUGCUCAGACUUCUGAUCCAUGGAAAACAUUCUGAUUUUGGGGAAUACAAACUGAGAUAGAGGCAUAUUUUGUUACCUGAAAUGGCUUGGGCUGAAGCUUGCUCUUGAGGAGAAUAAGCACCUGGAGCUACAGUGUCUGAACUAGCAGCUGCUGCUGCCACCUAGACAUUGUCACUGAGCUGUGUGAAGCUAUAUGGCAAGGCUGAGUCUGAUUCAAAGAUACCUGCAGGCAUUAAUCUUCACAGUUCUCAUGGUGGAAGACUACAAGGGCAAGCCAGACCUGAGCUGACCUGAAAAGAUUUUGAUAGGCGGAAAGAUGGGAGGACUUUCAUCCACUUCUCCACCACUGGAAUGCCCUCAGAACUUCUCUCUUUUGCUCUCCAAAUCCUAAGGAGGUGGCUGAAGUCCAGGGAAUGAAUGAAGGUCAGCGAGAGAGAAUAUACACACCACAAAGAGAAGAGGAGUAAUUCCGGAUUCUUAGAGAUCACCAACAUGUAACAGUCGAUCCCUUUCAUGUUUUUUCUCUUCUGUUUUCAAGCUGGUUUGCAUCAGAAUGGUAAUUCUCUCAUUUCAAGAUUUUAAUGCCAACUGCAGAGAAUUCUGUGUUUCGGUUUAUAAUUGUUUAAAGUUCUGAUUUUGAGCACAGCAUCUUCAACAACUAUUUUCAACCACUGUGGAGAUCUGUUUGGAACAUAGUUUUUCUCUGUUAAACCUAUUGUGUGUGGAAUGUCACAGCCCCCUGAUAACUGGCACUUGGGAUCUCCUACACUGGUCUGCCCUGUAGUAGUGGAGGGGGCAGGAGGGUUUUCAUGGCUCCCAAACCUAAAGGUAAGAAAAAAGUCUAGAUUUUGUGCUGCUAAAAAGACCUCCAUCUUUUUUCAAAAGUCCUCAACUCUUAUACUUUUUGUGUUACAGGAUGAAGGUUCCAGGUCUGUAACAGAACAUCUAUUAAAGUUUUGAUAUCACGAAACCCCACUGAUAAUAUUUUUAUGCAUAGGCAUAUAAGAUGUUUCUGUAAAAACUGUUUUCUUAGGACAACAACAAAAUCCCCAAAGUUAUAUAAGGUAAAAACAAAGUGAUUUGAUCUUGAAAGGUAAGGAAAUAAAAUUGCUUCGAUAAUUAUCACUAUCAUGAUAAAAUGGUUAUCAUAAGACUUGAAAGUAUUUUUCCAUUUAUCACAGCACAUCUACAAGUUAUUCACGGAACACCCGUGUUCCCUGGCACGCAGUAUGAGAAACACUAUCCUAGUGGUUUGAUUGUGAUGGUGCACAAUACUAUGCUCACCGAACGGGACCCCAUUAUCUUUACGUUUAAAAGGCAAUUUCAGAAAAGAAGAGGGAUGGCUCCAGAAAGCUGAACCUGUCAUGGAGCUGGGCAGAGUAAAGGACCUCAGCAAACAUUUGUUGAAUGGUUCCUACCACUUGCUAUGAGUGCUUGCACCUGUGACCCUUGGUCUCGAGAAAGAUGGCGAACAAGUUUUUCUGUGUGCUGCCUCAAGUCUGCUAGUAGGACUGCCUGGAGUACCGUAAUGGAUCUGAUCUGUUAUGGUAGAUUGCACUGCGGUUGGCAAUUAUCCACCUCCCCUUCCUUGUGAGGAUUAGACAUCCCUGACCAUUGCCUUGUGACUCUGUGUGUGGAUCAUUCAAGCAGUGGUUUUAAGAGGCAUCAUGGAUUAUCACCGGCUCUCUGGCUCUUUCCCUCUGCCGUGGGAAUAGCACACCUCAUGAUCCUUCAGCCUGGAUCCCAGAAAGUGCAGCCCAGCAGCCAACUUCCAGCGUGGAGCUGAGCCACACACUGGAACAGAGCGGCAGCCAACCCUCGGCCUUCAGUAAUGAGCGCAUCCAGGAUACCACCUUACGUUUAGUUGUCGCGUCUCCUUUGGCUGCUCUUGGCUGUGACAGUUUCUCAGACAGACCAUGUUUUGAAUGACCUUGACAGUCUGAAGAAUACUGAUCAGAGCUAAUCAUAGAUGUCAUGGGGGAAUAGAAGAUCAAAGAAUAAAGAGCAUCAAUUUAUUUUUCCUGCUGCAGCUCCUGUUAGGUUUCUAUCCAAAAUGUAACCUGAAUCUGCCUACUUCUCUCAUCUCCAUUGCUACAAGCCUAAUCUGAGCCAUCUUCAACCUCCUACCUGAGAUGAGAGUCUCCUGCCUGGCUGCCCUGCAUCCUCUCAUUUGGUCAUCCUGCAGUGGCCAUAAUGGUCUCUAUGAAGAGGUACCGCUCACUCCUUAAGACCCUCCCAUGCUUUCUUCCCACUGCAUGUAGAAUGAGAGCUAAACUCCUCUCUAUAGCCUCCAAAAUCACUUGAUCUGGCAUCCCUGCCAGUUUUCAACCUCUCAUUGCUUGUUAUUGUCUUUUUUUGUUAUUGUUGCUGCUGUUGUUUGGGAAGGGGAACUCAAAAACUGAGAGUUGUGUCAAUCAUACUCCUUAAUACGUGGUGUAUUAUCAUCUUUGAUCAACAUAGAUCCCUCACUUGUUUGUUAGUUGGUUGGCUUAUUUCCUUUUGUCCAAAUUCCCCACUUGCACUUCCUCUUCCUAAUGUGUUUCAUUUUUAUGUCUUACUAUAAAUUGUGUAUUGAUGUUUUGUGUACAUAUAUUUCUAAUUUAUGUAAAUGAUACUGUGUAAUAAAUCACAUUCUCCUUCUUUUCAAAUCCAGUGCUGUGUUUUGAAGAUACGUUUAUGCUGCAUGUUGCAUGUUGCCUCUAGUCUAUCUUCUCAUUGCUGUAUAUUACUCUCUGGUCCAUCCAUGACUUUUUGACUAUCUGUCCCCUGGGGAGUGGACACCCAGGUUAGCCUGGCUCCCACUCUGGACGACCACAAACAAUAAGCAUCCCAUUAUUGUGGACUUAUGUGAGAAUUGCUUUGCAAUAUAUUUCAGAGUGGAGUGGCUGGGUAAUCUUGUAUAUUUAAUUUGAAAAUAUACUCCCAAAUUGCUCUCCAGAAGGCUACAGCCUAUGUCCCCCCCCAGCAAUGCAUAACAGCACCAUAAUCCCUGACCCAGUGUUCCUGCCAACCUAGGCAUUAUCCCACUUUCUGAAUUUCAUCACUCAAAUAAUGGAAAGUUUAUGAUAGCUAAUGACUUUGAGCAUCUUAUAUGUAUCAUAGCACUUUAGGUCUCCUCUUAUGGAAAUUGCCUGUUCAUGGCCUUUGCCUAUUUUUCCCACUAGGAUUAUGUGUUUUUCUUGCUGAUUUUUGCAAAAGCUCCCUUCUAAUGCUGGAUAUAAUUCGCUGAAUGAUGUUAGACAAUGAAAAUAUUUUCUCCCAAAGUAUCAUCUGUCUGUUAACUUUAUCAAUGUUAUUUCUUGUUAAGUAGGAAUUUUUGGCUUUGAUAAAAUUGAAUUCACCUUUCUUUCCUUCAUGAUUUAUGUUUCUGAAUAUUUUUAGGAAGUCCUUUCUCACCACCAAGAUGCAGGUAAUAAGGCUUUUUGUUUUUCCCUUCCAGGGCUUGCAGCUCUUUUUUCCCAUUUCUUAUUGCUUGGAAAAGCCCUCCAGUUUAUGUUACAUAGUAGCAAUAAUAGCAUUUUUUUCUUUUUCCCAGUUUUAAAGUAACUGCAUCUUCAGUUUUUCCACAAGUAUAGUUUUUGUUGUGAGUUUUCAGUUAAAGUGAGUCCCUACAGUUCCUUUUCUUCUGAUAGACUGACCAUAAACAGGUAUUGACUUAUUUAUGUUUUAUCAAAUGAUUUUUCUACAUCAAUUGAGAUUAAUAAUAUUUUAAUAAACAAUUAUAAAUGUUUUACGUUAGUCUACUCAUGUGGUGAAUUAUGUUGAUAAACUUUUCUCAUGUUAAACCAUCCCUUCAUUCCAGGGAUAAGAAGGAUAACUAAUCUUUUAUGUAGAGUUUGACAUUUAUGAUCAUAAGUAAAACAGACCUAUCAUUUUCUUAUGUGUAUUUUUUUUGUCUUAUUCCUAUCUACUUCCAAAGUCAUUACACUGGCGUCACAGAAUGAUCUGCUCAAUUCAUUUCCUAUGUUCUGUAAGUACUUAUAUAAGAUAGAAAUUGACUGUUCCUCCAAAUGUUGCUAAUACUAAUGUAAAAAACCAUCUGUACUUGAGAUCUGAGGGGACGGUUUGUCUUUUAGACACCCUUUUAGCUAGUAGUUAUUGAUAUUUAAGUAUUAGGUACUAUUGAUAUUUAACUGGUAUAUCUAAGUUAUCCAUUUCUUCUUGUGCCAAUUUUGACAUCUUGUAAUUUCUUGGCAUUUGUCUAUUACAUAUAGGUUUUCAAAUGCUAUAAUACUCUUUUCUUAUUUUUUUAAAUCUUUCUUGAGACUGACCUUAUUUCUGCUUUUUAAUUUUGAUUCUUAUUUGCAUUCUCUCUCUUUUACCUUUUAUUAAGUGAAUAUUUUACUGAAGUAUAACAUACACACAGAAAACUCUAUAUCAUAGGUGUGUAGCCCUAUGAAUUUUUGUGAGGCAUAUAUUUUGGAAUAGAAAUGGUGGAUCAAGCAUACAUAUGUACACAAAAACACAGGUACAAAAAUUAUUAUAGCAGUAUAAUUUGUAACUGCCAAAAGUUAAAAUAACCUAAAUGGUCAUCAAUGAUAGGCUAGAUAAAGAAACAUUAGUAUGUUCACAUCAUGGAAUACUAUGCAGCAAUAAAAAAUAUAAACCACUACCACACACAAAAACAUGGAAAAAUACACAAACAUAAUGUUGGACCAAAGAAACCAGAUACAAGUGGGGAUAUACAAUAUGAUCUCAUUUAUAUAAAAUUCAAAAUAGGCAAAAGUAAAUUCUGGUUUUGGGGGUCAGAACAAUGGUUAACUUUGGG
This is an RNA transcript of Globicephala melas (long-finned pilot whale), 5960 nucleotides long. It is a transcript of the gene named tRNA splicing endonuclease subunit 15, with no coding region annotated. Lineage: Eukaryota; Metazoa; Chordata; Mammalia; Artiodactyla; Delphinidae. The record is from RefSeq and is a predicted model, not a curated record.